UACGUAGGGGGCGAGCGUUGUCCGGAUUUAUUGGGCGUAAAGAGCUCGUAGGCGGCUUGGCAAGUCGGGUGUGAAACCUCCAGGCUCAACCUGGAGACGCCACUCGAUACUGCUAUGGCUAGAGUCCGGUAGGGGACCACGGAAUUCCUGGUGUAGCGGUGAAAUGCGCAGAUAUCAGGAGGAACACCGAUGGCGAAGGCAGGUCUCUGGGCAUUAACUGACGCUGAGGAGCGAAAGCAUGGGGAGCGAACAGG
Molecule: ribosomal RNA, 254 nt
Filed under: uncultured bacterium
Lineage: Bacteria
Description: partial 16S ribosomal RNA
Rfam family: Bacterial small subunit ribosomal RNA
Source: RNAcentral